This 76-nucleotide transfer RNA is filed under the name Gammaproteobacteria bacterium. RNAcentral describes it as "tRNA-Val". It matches the Rfam family "tRNA". From Rfam's summary of the family: Transfer RNA (tRNA) molecules are approximately 80 nucleotides in length. Lineage: Bacteria; Pseudomonadati; Pseudomonadota; Gammaproteobacteria. RNAcentral also lists the same sequence under 3 other names. The record is from RNAcentral.
GGGCCAUUAACUCAAUUGGUAGAGUGCCAUGUUCACAGCGUGGAAGUUGCUGGUUCGAGUCCAGCAUGGCCCACCA